AGAAUACUGUAGCCCUACGUAGCAUCGAAUCCUAUUCGUCCGCUGAGAUCCAACCGCUAACGGUCGAGUGAAGUCAGUUGAUCUCGAUUCAUCCUCUUCCCCCAAUAAAAAUAAGAAGCAGUAGCAAUGCCGCCGCGGCCGCCGGGCGCCGGCGGAUCCACUCCGAGUCCGAGCUGAGCCUCUCGCCGCCGCCACCAGAGCUACCCUUCCCCUUCCCCAUCUGCCCGUGGCAGUUCUGUUCCAGAUACGACGCCUCCCGCGUCGAAGCGCCUCCCCUCCGUUGCCGAACAAGACACCAAGAAAGAAGAAGGCCCAAGGUGCUACGUGACGGAGCUCGACAAUUACGUGAAAUGGAACACAAGAUUGCUGAGAUCCAAGGUGGAUGGAACAACGCUAGGAAGGCGAUCCAAGUCUGAUAUUUGCUGGGGAAUGUGGCUCGUAACUGUCUGCUUGGUUCUUGUUCCGACUGCUGCUUUCAACCUUUUGCUGCUCGGAUGGUGCCUGCUGUGCCCUGAUGUGUUCUAGACUCUCUGAGCAGUCACUCUGAUUUGGAUGGCAAGAUGGGCCAGUCGUCAUAUUCAUCGCUGACUAUUUUGCAGUAUGGGUGUAGAACAAAUUCAAGAACCCAAAGCAGCUCAAGUAAAUCAAACCAAAUCAAAAUUCACCAUGUUUAUUCCUAUUAUUGCUAAUGCUUAAUUUACGUAUUUGAGCUGAAAAAACUGAUAUAGCGCAUCCUAUUCCAGUACUACCGACAUGGUUUGGGUGGGCACAGACCUCCAAGUGAAACAGGGCGAAUGUCUGACUAAACCGCAUGCACCACGAAGUUGCCGCUGUCCUCGUCGUCUUCGUCCCACCUGCCGGAGUGCGACAUGCUCCGUCGCUGGCUGCCUUUCUUCUUCGCCUCGAGGAGCGGCUCGCCGCCGCCCUCAUAGUUCACCUGGCACGCCGCCUCGGCAGACAUCUGGUCGCACCGGAUGAGGUGGUGCAGGACCUCCUUCAUGGACGGCCGCGCCGGGGGGUUCUCCCCCGUGCAGAUCACGCCGAGCGUGAACACCGACAGGAUGUCCUGCAGGUUGGCUGGGUCAUGGAUGGCCUCAUCGACGACGUCGUAGAAUGGAGCACCUUUCUGGUACCGCCGCCACGCCCAUUCCGCCAGGCACAGCUCGGCGCCGCUGUCGUUGGCAACCUUGCCUGUUGUCAGCUCUAGCAGGACGACACCGAAGCUGUAGACGUCCACCUUCUCGUUCACCUUUGGCCUGUACCCAUAUUCUGCAAAAUUCGUAUCCAAUUAGCAUUAUAAUUGCAAUUUCACAAAUUGAACUGAA
Phragmites australis (common reed) is the source of this 1325-nucleotide long non-coding RNA. RefSeq lists it as uncharacterized. NCBI's taxonomy places the organism in Eukaryota, Viridiplantae, Streptophyta, Magnoliopsida, Poales, Poaceae. The transcript has 5 exons. The record is from RefSeq and is a predicted model, not a curated record.